UACGAAGGGGGCUAGCGUUGCUCGGAAUCACUGGGCGUAAAGCGCACGUAGGCGGAUCCUUAAGUCGGGGGUGAAAUCCUGGAGCUCAACUCCAGAACUGCCUUCGAUACUGAGGAUCUCGAGUCCGGGAGAGGUGAGUGGAACUGCGAGUGUAGAGGUGAAAUUCGUAGAUAUUCGCAAGAACGCCAGUGGCGAAGGCGGCUCACUGGCCCGGUACUGACGCUGAGGUGCGAAAGCGUGGGGAGCAAACAGG
RNAcentral lists this ribosomal RNA (253 nucleotides) under uncultured bacterium. RNAcentral's name for it is "partial 16S ribosomal RNA". It matches the Rfam family "Bacterial small subunit ribosomal RNA", at positions 524 to 776 of the family's 1533-position model. The record is from RNAcentral.